This 73-nucleotide transfer RNA is filed under the name Ganoderma leucocontextum. RNAcentral describes it as "tRNA-Gly". The record is from RNAcentral. Lineage: Eukaryota; Fungi; Basidiomycota; Agaricomycetes; Polyporales; Polyporaceae.
AUCCGAUGUGACGUGGUGGCUAACACUAUCGCCUCCCAUGCGAUAGCGCGGGGUUCGAUUCCCCACACGGAUG